This 2425-nucleotide long non-coding RNA is filed under the name Podarcis lilfordi (Lilford's wall lizard). The record is from RNAcentral. Lineage: Eukaryota; Metazoa; Chordata; Lepidosauria; Squamata; Lacertidae.
GUCAACAUCUGGGAACGGAGGAUUGGUUGCCAGCCACACAAGGCAGGUGCCUGCUUGAAUGACAGAACAGGAGAUGACAAUGGAGUAGGCAAGGCUUCUCCCAAUCCAUUUCUUCACCCUAGAUCCUGGCUUAGUGGCCAUGAAAGCCAGGACAACUGUGAUGGUUUUUGCCAGCACACAAGAAACAGCCAUAGAGAAGAUGAUGCCAAAAGCAGUUUGCCGGAGGAGACAUGUCACCUUCCAAGGUUUGCCAAUGAAUAGCAAUGCACAAAUGAAGCAGAAUAGGAGGGCGAUGAGGAGAAUGUAGGUGAGGUCCCGGUUGUUGGCUUUGACAAUAGGGGUGCCAUGGUGCUUCAUAAAGGUCACUAGGACAAGAGCUGUGAUCAAACAACAUGAAAGAGACAAACAGGCUAAAGUGAGCCCCAAAGGCUCUUCAAAUGUCAGGUAGCUUACAUUCUUGGGAAUACACAAAUCUCUGUUUUUGUUUGGAUAAUUUUCAUCUGUGCAUUCAUAACAAUCACUCAAAUCUGGAAAAGAAUAAAAUAGUGAUUUAACUAUCACUACCUUAGUGAUAAGUGGUACACAUCUCAUCAAAGAUUGAUAGAUAGAUGAUAAAUAGAUGAUAGAUGAUAGAUGAGAUGAUUGAUAUAGAUAGAUAGAUGAUAGAUAGAUGAUAGAUAGAUAGAUAUAGAUAUAGAUAUAGAUAUAGAUAUAGAUAUAGAUAUAGAUAUAGAUAUAGAUAGAUAGAUAUAGAUAUAGAUAUAGAUAUAGAUAUAGAUAUAGAUAUAGAUAUAGAUAUAGAUGAGAUAGAUUAGAUAGAUAGAUAGAUGAUAGAUAGAGCGAUAGAUCAUCGAUAGAUAGAGCGAUAGAUACGAGAUAGAUGAUAGAGGCCCAGUUUUCUAAGUGUAGCUUUUUCAAGAUACAAGUUCAUAAUGAGUUUAUUAUUUAUACCUAACACUUAUAUUUAAAAGAAUUGAGGUAGCUUACAGCCAAAAGAAUAAAUUGUUUGUGUGAGUAAAAGAGAUAUAGGGAGUAGACAUCAUCGCACUGAGAGCAGGAAGGUUCAAUCCUGUGGUGUUCAGCUUCUUAACAAGGGCGCUCCCAACAGAGAAGCCCCUAGUGAAGGAGCAGCAGGUAGGAUUGAAUAUUAUACUUAGUAAAGGAUCUGAUUCGCAUGGAGCAUAUUAUUCCUCCUGCACAAGUACCUCCCCAGAAGGGAUGACUUGUAGGAAGGAGGAGCAACCUGAAUCCUGUAGGGUGGAAUCACUUGCUUACCAGCUGCUAAGUGAAGGAUUUCAUCCUGCAUGGUAUUGCAUUAAGGGGUGGUGUGGUGACCAUGAAGAGGGAGAUAAUAGCCAGGAAAGAGAAGCUAAAUGAGAAAGCCUGCAUCCCAAAUUCCAACAGCUUCCCCACCCCACCCCAUCCCUACCUUCACUGGGAAAUACAUGAAUGGCCAAGUAGCUUCGGCCUACUUUAUUUAUGCAGUAUCUCCUUCUUCCCACCUAACUCCUGCCUUUCCUUUCUGCCUUAUGCCUUUCCCUCGGGCAGCCCUAGAUUAUUCUGGGUCACCAACCUUCAACAAUCCAAAGCUGUCUCAAGCCAAGUUGAGUGUCACCUCGAAAAGCCCAAAUCUGCCAGAUGUGGAUAAAAACUUUGAUUCAGCUGAAUCACUUGCGCAGUUGUAGUAACAGACCUAUUACUGCAUAUCUGAGAAAGCAACAUGAGAUGGGGAAAACUCAAUUCAUCCCUUUCUAGCGAUGUGUACAUGCAUUUGCUGGUAUGCUUACAAGUAUCCUCAUGAUCAGGAAUGUGGCCUGAUCAGGAAUGUGGCCUUAUCUUCACAAGGAGGCUUAUAAACAUGUUCUGGCAAAUGCACUGACAAGGCUCCUUCAGACUUUUCUUUUGAUCACACAGAAGUGUGGCUAGUGAUAUUUGGGGGCGGGGAUAUUGCACAUGCCUAUCUGCAUAUAUGUUUUUGCAUUCAUGUAUCCCAGCUGAACACUGAAUGAUGGCUAUUUGAAUAUUAGUAUAUAAGGAGGGGCACAUGAUUCUCCAGAGAGAUAUAGUACAAAUUAUUUUUUAUUCUUCUUCAGGUUCACAUCCAGUCCCAAUAGAAGAAAACAAAAACAAUUUUGUAUGCUAUAUCAGCUUGGACCUAAUCUUUGUACAGUCUAUUUCUUACCAUCCUGGUCUGAAAUCUUCCCUUCUGGACAUGGAAUGCAAUCAUAGCAACAAAAUGGCUCCCCCUCCUUCACUUUCUUGCUGGAACCAGGAUGGCAACUCUCUGUACACACAGAAAGAGGUUGCGUCUAGUCAUGAAAAAGAAAGAAGACUUUUACUGGGGGUGCAGACAUCCAUGGGAUUCACUAUUCCAUGCUUUCAUCCUAUAAUACUGUGUUCUCUUGGGAUAAAACAGCAGAGGCCC